This 534-nucleotide ribosomal RNA is filed under the name uncultured bacterium. RNAcentral describes it as "bacterial SSU rRNA". It matches the Rfam family "Bacterial small subunit ribosomal RNA", at positions 62 to 602 of the family's 1533-position model. The record is from RNAcentral.
UCGAACGAAUCUCUGGGGGCUUGCUCCCAGAGGAAAGUGGCGAAAGGGGCAGUAAGGCGUGGGUAACCUACCUCGGGGACCGGGAUAGCCCUCCUAACGGAGGGGUAAUACCGGGCGAUGUCGUUGAGGCGCAUGUUUCGACGAUGAGAUGAAUUUCGCCUCGAGCGGGGCUCACGUGGUAUUAGCUUGUUGGUGAGGUAACGGCUCACCAAGGCCAAGAUGCCUAGCGGGUGUGAGAGCACGACCCGCGCCACUGGCACUGAGACACUGGCCAGACUCCUACGGGAGGCUGCAGUCGAGGAUCUUCGGCAAUGGGCGCAAGCCUGACCGAGCGACGCCGCGUGUGCGAUGAAGGCCUUCGGGUUGUAAAGCACUGUCGAGGGGGAGGAAAGCCGCAAGGUCUGACCUAUCCCUGGAGGAAGCACGGGCUAAGUUCGUGCCAGCAGCCGCGGUAAGACGAACCGUGCGAACGUUGUUCGGAAUCACUGGGCUUAAAGGGCGCGUANGCGGGCUGUCAAGUCCGGGGUGAAAUCU